CCUACGGGUGGCAGCAGUGAGGAAUAUUGGUCAAUGGACGAGAGUCUGAACCAGCCAAGUAGCGUGAAGGAUGACUGCCCUAUGGGUUGUAAACUUCUUUUAUAUGGGAAUAAAAUGUUCCACGUGUGGGAUUUUGUAUGUACCAUAUGAAUAAGGAUCGGCUAACUCCGUGCCAGCAGCCGCGGUAAUACGGAGGAUCCGAGCGUUAUCCGGAUUUAUUGGGUUUAAAGGGAGCGUAGGUGGAUUGUUAAGUCAGUUGUGAAAGUUUGCGGCUCAACCGCAAAAUUGCAGUUGAAACUGGCAGGUUUGAGUACAGGAGAGGUGGGCGGAAUUCGUGGUGUAGCGGGGAAAUGCUUAGAUAUUAGGAAGAACACCGAUUGCGAAGGCAGUCUGCUGGACUGCAACUGACACUGAGGCCCGAAGGUGUGGGGAGCAAACAGGAUUAGAUACCCGAGUAGUC
This 460-nucleotide ribosomal RNA is filed under the name uncultured bacterium. Its description in RNAcentral is "partial 16S ribosomal RNA". It matches the Rfam family "Bacterial small subunit ribosomal RNA", at positions 338 to 795 of the family's 1533-position model. The record is from RNAcentral.